UAUAUAUAGUGGGCUGGUAUGCUUCUAGAAGCACGGAAGGCUCCGUGCUUCCAAGUUGUUUUCGAUGUUCGGACUUUCGAAUCGACGAUCGGCUCCGUAAGAGUUGAUCUAGAGUAUUUGAAGUACCUAGAAAAUACAUUUUGUAAUUUUUCGAUAUCAUUAAUUUGCCUAGUGAUCGAAGGGGCUUAAAAUCAAUAAUUUUAAUGGCCGUGGUGAGCCGUUUGCAAAUUUAACGGUGUAGAAAUAUCCAAAUCAUAUGAAAUUUUGAUAGAAAAUUUUUUAUACCAUAUAAAACAAGAUCACUAACUUUGAUCUAAAAUUUUAAUGUCAUAUCAUCAUAUUUUGUAAGAUUUUUAUUUUCAGCCGUUGAUUUUGAGCCACUUCGAUCACUAGGCAAAUGAUAUCGAAAAAUCACAAAAUUUAUUUUCUAGAUACUUCAAAUACUCUAGAUCAAGUCUAACGGAGCCGAUCGUCGAUUCGAAAGUUUGAACAUCGAAAAUAACUUGGAAGCACAAAGCGCUCCGUGCUUCCAAAAGCAUACCAGACGCACUAUAUAUAUAUAUAUUGGACCUGUUUCUUCUAAUGUAAUUUUAAUUUUCUCCUAUUUAAUUCAAGUUCACAUCUUGAGCCUAUCAAAAAAUGUCGAAUUCAGACAUAAAGGGGAUUGUUGAAUAUAAAUAUUAAAACAUAUUAUUUUUUGAUAGCUUAAGAU
This 712-nucleotide long non-coding RNA is filed under the name Ananas comosus (pineapple). Its description in RNAcentral is "long non-coding RNA (ACOM_LNC033877)". The record is from RNAcentral. Lineage: Eukaryota; Viridiplantae; Streptophyta; Magnoliopsida; Poales; Bromeliaceae.